CAGGGAUUGCCCUAGUAACGGCGAGUGAAGCGGCAACAGCUCAAAUUUGAAAUCUGGCCCUUUCAGGGUCCGAGUUGUAAUUUGUAGAGGGUGCUUUGGCGUUGGCUGUGGUCUAAGUUCCUUGGAACAGGACGUCGCAGAGGGUGAGAAUCCCGUAUGUGGCCGCCAGUCUUCGCCGUGUAAAGCCCCUUCGACGAGUCGAGUUGUUUGGGAAUGCAGCUCUAAAUGGGAGGUAAAUUUCUUCUAAAGCUAAAUAUUGGCCAGAGACCGAUAGCGCACAAGUAGAGUGAUCGAAAGAUGAAAAGCACUUUGGAAAGAGAGUCAAAAAGCACGUGAAAUUGUUGAAAGGGAAGCGCUUGCAGCCAGACUUGCCUGUAGUUGCUCAUCCGGGCUUUUGCCCGGUGCACUCUUCUAUGGGCAGGCCAGCAUCAGUCCCAGCGGUUGGAUAAAUGCCUGUUGAAUGUACCUCUCUUCGGGGAGGACUUAUAGCUUCGGGCGGCAUACAACCAGCCGGGAUUGAGGUCCGCGCAUCUGCUAGGAUGCUGGCGUAAUGGCUGUAAGCGGCCCGUCUUGAAACACGGACCAAGGAGUCUAACAUCUAUGCGAGUGUUUGGGUGUCAAGCCCGAGCGCGUAAUGAAAGUGAACGGAGGUGGGAACCCCUCGGGGCGCACCAUCGACCGAUCCUGAUGUCUUCGGAUGGAUUUGAGUAAGAGCAUAGCUGUUGGGACCCGAAAGAUGGUGAACUAUGCCUGAAUAGGGUGAAGCCAGAGGAAACUCUGGUGGAGGCUCGCAGCGGUUCUGACGUGCAAAUCGAUCGUCAAAUUUGGGCAUAGGGGCGAAAGACUAAU
This 849-nucleotide ribosomal RNA is filed under the name Sporormiella persica. RNAcentral describes it as "Preussia persica partial large subunit ribosomal RNA". It matches the Rfam family "Eukaryotic large subunit ribosomal RNA", at positions 69 to 935 of the family's 3401-position model. The record is from RNAcentral. Lineage: Eukaryota; Fungi; Ascomycota; Dothideomycetes; Pleosporales; Sporormiaceae.